UACGUAGGUGGCAAGCGUUAUCCGGAAUUAUUGGGCGUAAAGCGCGCGUAGGCGGUUUUUAAGUCUGAUGUGAAAGCCCACGGCUCAACCGUGGAGGGUCAUUGGAACUGGAAAACUUGAGUGCAGAAGAGGAAGUGGAAUUCCAUGUGUAGCGGUGAAUGCGCAGAGAUAUGGAGGAACACCAGUGGCGAAGGCGACUUUCUGGUCUGUAACUGACGCUGAUGUGCGAAAGCGUGGGAUCAACAGGAUUAGAUACCCUGUAGUCC
Molecule: ribosomal RNA, 266 nt
Filed under: uncultured bacterium
Lineage: Bacteria
Description: partial 16S ribosomal RNA
Rfam family: Bacterial small subunit ribosomal RNA
Source: RNAcentral